UCGGGCAUUGUCUAAUGGUAGGACGUCAGUUUCUGGAUCUGAAGGUUGGGGUUCGACUCCCUGUGCCCGAGCCA
RNAcentral lists this transfer RNA (74 nucleotides) under Nitrospina sp. RNAcentral's name for it is "tRNA-Gln". It matches the Rfam family "tRNA". From Rfam's summary of the family: Transfer RNA (tRNA) molecules are approximately 80 nucleotides in length. Their secondary structure includes four short double-helical elements and three loops (D, anti-codon, and T loops). Lineage: Bacteria; Pseudomonadati; Nitrospinota; Nitrospinia; Nitrospinales; Nitrospinaceae. RNAcentral also lists the same sequence under 1 other name. The record is from RNAcentral.